Long non-coding RNA from Numida meleagris (helmeted guineafowl), 2009 nucleotides. RefSeq lists it as uncharacterized. The record is from RefSeq and is a predicted model, not a curated record. NCBI's taxonomy places the organism in Eukaryota, Metazoa, Chordata, Aves, Galliformes, Numididae. The transcript has 6 exons.
GGUGGGAGUCCUAGCUGAAAAGAGCCACUGAAACGCCUCCCGACCUAACCCCGUACACCUAACGGGAGUACAUGAGGCACGAAGGGGUGUCUGAGAGCACACCCCUCGGCAGAAGCAAAUCUGAGGGGAGAAAAUUAGUGUGAUUAUUGCUCCUCCUGUUCUAUAAAGUGAGGCAGAUUAAUGUAUCUGCUUUACAAAGGUGGACGUCUUCAGAAUGCAACAGAAGAAUGCAAAACUGAUUCAACACCUAUGAGAUGUUUGUGUCAUGGCCUAGAAGCCAUGAAGAAGCUAGAACUAAGAGCAGUUUAUGCCACAUGUGGAAUUGCACCGCUAUUGUCCAGAAUGGAAGGAAAAUUGCAGCCACUAUGAGUAGAAGUGUCAAUGGUUUACGGGCGUUCAGCCCGGUUCCGUGAUGAAGGGGACAGGGAACCCACGGGCCCACGCCCCGGGAAAAGGGGGCUGUAGGAAGAAACAGUAGUGGCUUUGGAUCGGAGCUUAUUGCUGCAGGAAGCUGAAGCAACAUCUGUUGAGUCAGACCUGAUGAGAAUCCUGCCCAGACAGUGGCCUCAGGCAGAUAGUUUUAGGAGAAAAGGAGCUCUGUGGAGAUCUCUGGAAAAGCAGCAUUUGUCUUGCUACCACUGAGACUUCCAGGUGUGUGGUCCAUUCCUCUACACUGGUUGAUACUUGUUAUGAAUUAGAUUCUCUCAUUCCAAGUUUUUUGAAUAUGAAGAAGGUGCCUAAAGUUCUGACUUUCCUCAUGAGAGGAAUCAUCAUCUUAGUUAGGUAUGAGUGGCUGGAUGAACAAACUCAACUGCAGUCUAAUUACAGCUUGUUGCAAACCAAGGUCCCUCGAACAGUCAGCUCCUAGAACCAGCUCCUUUCUGGACACUGACGGGAGUAGGGAAGGCUGCCCUUCAAUGUAAGGAGAUAUCUCUGACAGCUGGACUGUAAAAUAAACCCCUGACUACCACACUAAACUUCUAUCUGGUAAAUUAUACUUUCUUGGGAGUUUUCUUGCUUAUCUUGUUUGAUUUUCCAUUUUAAUAUGUACUAAAACAGGAAAAUAUCAAUAAGUUUGACUUCAAAUUCCACUUGCCACGCUGCCUUUGGCACACAUGCACUUACACUAACUCAAACAUCAAGCAAAAACCUGAGAACUGAAUAGCUAACCUUGAAUUCUUGAGUCAGAUGCCCACCAUGUUUUCAGAAGUGUGAUUUUCUUCUAUUUAGUGACAAGUUCUUACAAACGUAUUGCACCAGUUGUACAAUACACAGGUGAAAGUAACUUCAGUCAUGAUUCUUUACCAGUAAUGUAUUGAUACUAAGUUUGUAGCUAUAUGUAGUCUUUUCUAAGUAUCUUAGCAGGAAGCAACAAUGACUUUUUGACACCCUUUAAAAUGGGAAAUUAAUUACCACUAUUUUUUCCCUUUCUUCAUAUGCUUCAACAGAAAAUAUCCUUUUGAUGAUACUUAGCAUCCCUUUAACUUCCUUUUUGUUCAUUUGCAUUGUUUAUUUGUAGUGUUUGUUUUUCAUAUGUAAUAAAACUAUCUCACGUUGAAAAGUCAAGAACUCCACAGAUACAAUACUGCCCCUGAUGCAUUAUUUGAUUGUCGUUAAUUUGAAAGGAAAUUACUAUUAAAAACAAGUCUCAGGUACAAAUUGAGGUGGUAUAUCAGCCAAUAUCCUUGUGUUUCUGUGCAAUGUUGUACGAUGACCUGGACAGUUCUUCAUAAGCCAUAGUACAGAAGACAUGGGCACUAAUAAUUUAGGAUUCUGUUCACAUUUUUGCCCAGGCACAAUGUGCUGCAAAUCUUCAUUAGGUCUCACUGUACCCCUUUAGGAUAGCUCCGUACUGUGAAAUCAAUUCCAAGGUAACAUAAACAGCUACUUAUGAAGAAGUAUCUUCAUUCACUAUUGUUUUAAUCUUUUGUUCUAACCGUCAGUUAGCACUUCCUCACUGAAGUAUUCAUGCAUUGGCAUACAUCCAUUUACACUAAGACUCAUACAUC